GAUGAACGCUAGCGACAGGCUUAACACAUGCAAGUCGAGGGGCAGCGGGGGUAGCGAUACCCGCCGGCGACCGGCGCACGGGUGAGUAACGCGUAUGCAACUUGCCUAUCAGAGGGGGAUAACCCGGCGAAAGUCGGACUAAUACCGCAUGAAGCAGGGGCCCCGCAUGGGGAUAUUUGCUAAAGAUUCAUCGCUGAUAGAUAGGCAUGCGUUCCAUUAGGCAGUUGGCGGGGUAACGGCCCACCAAACCGACGAUGGAUAGGGGUUCUGAGAGGAAGGUCCCCCACAUUGGUACUGAGACACGGACCAAACUCCUACGGGAGGCAGCAGUGAGGAAUAUUGGUCAAUGGCCGAGAGGCUGAACCAGCCAAGUCGCGUGAGGGAUGAAGGUUCUAUGGAUCGUAAACCUCUUUUAUAAGGGAAUAAAGUGCGGGACGUGUCCCGUUUUGUAUGUACCUUAUGAAUAAGGAUCGGCUAACUCCGUGCCAGCAGCCGCGGUAAUACGGAGGAUCCGAGCGUUAUCCGGAUUUAUUGGGUUUAAAGGGUGCGUAGGCGGCCUUUUAAGUCAGCGGUGAAAGUCUGUGGCUCAACCAUAGAAUUGCCGUUGAAACUGGGGGGCUUGAGUAUGUUUGAGGCAGGCGGAAUGCGUGGUGUAGCGGUGAAAUGCAUAGAUAUCACGCAGAACCCCGAUUGCGAAGGCAGCCUGCCAAGCCAUUACUGACGCUAAUGCACGAAAGCGUGGGGAUCAAACAGGAUUAGAUACCCUGGUAGUCCACGCAGUAAACGAUGAUCACUAGCUGUUUGCGAUACACUGUAAGCGGCACAGCGAAAGCGUUAAGUGAUCCACCUGGGGAGUACGCCGGCAACGGUGAAACUCAAAGGAAUUGACGGGGGCCCGCACAAGCGGAGGAACAUGUGGUUUAAUUCGAUGAUACGCGAGGAACCUUACCCGGGUUUGAACGCAUUCGGACCGAGGUGGAAACACCUUUUCUAGCAAUAGCCGUUUGCGAGGUGCUGCAUGAUUGUCGUCAGCUCGUGCCGUGAGGUGUCGGCUUAAGUGCCAUAACGAGCGCAACCCUUGCCACUAGUUACUAACAGGUAAAGCUGAGGACUCUGGUGGAACUGCCAGCGUAAGCUGCGAGGAAGGCGGGGAUGACGUCAAAUCAGCACGGCCCUUACAUCCGGGGCGACACACGUGUUACAAUGGCGUGGACAAAGGGAGGCCACCUGGCGACAGGGAGCGAAUCCCCAAACCACGUCUCAGUUCGGAUCGGAGUCUGCAACCCGACUCCGUGAAGCUGGAUUCGCUAGUAAUCGCGCAUCAGCCAUGGCGCGGUGAAUACGUUCCCGGGCCUUGUACACACCGCCCGUCAAGCCAUGGGAGCCGGGGGUACCUGAAGUCCGUAACCGAAAGGAUCGGCCUAGGGUAAAACUGGUG
This 1438-nucleotide ribosomal RNA is filed under the name uncultured organism. RNAcentral describes it as "16S ribosomal RNA". It matches the Rfam family "Bacterial small subunit ribosomal RNA". The record is from RNAcentral.